RNAcentral lists this ribosomal RNA (469 nucleotides) under uncultured bacterium. Its description in RNAcentral is "partial 16S ribosomal RNA". It matches the Rfam family "Bacterial small subunit ribosomal RNA", at positions 28 to 507 of the family's 1533-position model. The record is from RNAcentral.
GACGAACGCUGGCGGCGUGCUUAACACAUGCAAGUCGAACGGAAAGGCCCUGCUUUUGUGGGGUGCUCGAGUGGCGAACGGGUGAGUAACACGUGAGUAACCUGCCCUUGACUUUGGGAUAACUUCAGGAAACUGGGGCUAAUACCGGAUAGGAGCUCCUGCUGCAUGGUGGGGGUUGGAAAGUUUCGGCGGUUGGGGGAUGGACGCGCGGCUUAUCAGCUUGUUGGUGGGGUAGUGGCUUACCAAGGCUUUGACGGGUAGCCGGCCUGAGAGGGUGACCGGCCACAUUGGGACUGAGAUACGGCCCAGACUCCUACGGGAGGCAGCAGUGGGGAAUAUUGCACAAUGGGCGGAAGCCUGAUGCAGCAACGCCGCGUGCGGGAUGACGGCCUUCGGGUUGUAAACCGCUUUCGCCUGUGACGAAGCGUGAGUGACGGUAAUGGGUAAAGAAGCACCGGCUAACUACGUG